Molecule: long non-coding RNA, 874 nt
Filed under: Mus caroli (Ryukyu mouse)
Lineage: Eukaryota; Metazoa; Chordata; Mammalia; Rodentia; Muridae
Description: lncRNA (MGP_CAROLIEiJ_G0013411.1)
Source: RNAcentral
ACAAAUGAGAAGAAGACUUGAGGGGAUUGAUGAGCUGAGGUCAUGCUGGACCACUAGAACGCAGCAAGAGCAGCUGAGCCCAGUGCUCUUGUCUCUAUUACGUGGAACAUUAGGGAGAGGGAGAUGAACGAGGCCAUACUAUUGCAAUCACUUGGGAAAAAAAUACAAAAUUUUCUGAAAAUACAAGAUGCUUUCUACUGCCACCAGACUUCCUUUGGAAGUUUUCCUACCGCUUAAUAACUAGGAACUUGUUGGCAUCUGACAGAGCAUCUCAGAUUUCUUAUGUAAAAUGUGGAAUUGUCAACAGUCAGAUGCUUCAAUGGCCAAGACUGUGGUGUGCAGUUUCUAUCAGCGUGUACAGGACAUCCUGCCUGGUUUUGGCCUCAAGGAAGCAAUGGUGAGAUUUUGUAGCUCACCGUCUCCUAGUUGGAGCAAAGGGUGCCAAACAGAGGUCAAGCUCGGGCCACAGGGAAACUGGGAAAAUACAUUCACGAUGUUCAUUGCCAUGUGCGAGGAGUCCAGUGGAUUUCAGAAAAGUUGUCUUCUGUGUCUCCUUAUAGGAUAUGGCAAUAGCCCCUUACUGGAAGAGCAUUUUUAGAGCUGCCAUUGAUGGACACAGAGGGUGUUAAAACCCAGAGCACAUAAGCCAGGAUGAGAAAAUUAAUCAGAAGAUAAAAGACAGCGGGCUUUGGGGACCCUGGCCGAGCCCUCCUGCAUGCUCCUGGGACAUCCUUUCAGACCAGCAGCACCAUCCCAUGCAGGGGCUGUGACAGAUGACUUAUAAUGUAGACAUCACCUCUGCUGGUGGACAGCCUUCGGAUUUGCUGAGUCCUUUCAUAACAAAUAAAACCAAACACGACAAAACACUAUAAAC